This is a non-coding RNA of Lactuca sativa (garden lettuce), 613 nucleotides long. The record is from RefSeq and is a predicted model, not a curated record. NCBI's taxonomy places the organism in Eukaryota, Viridiplantae, Streptophyta, Magnoliopsida, Asterales, Asteraceae.
AUCUGGAGACUCGAUACUAGAAAGACAUGUGUUGGAUUUUGGGUCAGAUAUCUUCCUUCGCGGUGGUUUUCUGGCUGGAGUUCUUGAUUCCGGGAGCUGAUAAUCAAACAACCACAGAGUUCAAAUAUUAGGGGUUAAAUAAUGUCUUCUAGGAGUAGCAUUAGCUUUUACAGGUGUGGAUCUUAGGGUUUUGGUAACACUUGGUGUCUUAACAACUGGUUUCUUUUCAUGGAUACCACGAGUUGAUAGGUUUCUAGUAAAUGAUGUUGACAAAUCAUGUUCAGAUACACUAGGAUUUAAGGCACGAUCACUGCUGAAAGAUUGGGUUUGUGUUGUAUGACUAUGAGAGUGAACCAUUUUAGGUUGAGGUUGAGGUUCAAUGAAUGUUGUUUUCUUUUCGUAUGUAUAAUCAGUCCAAUGGACUGGAUAUGUAUGGUGGUGUCUUGGGGGGUUCAAGUUUAGAUUAAGAUUAUGUACGUAUGGUUGUAGAUGUGAAUGUCUGAGCAAAUCUGCAGCCUGGAAAUGUGUAAAAAAAUAAUUUCAAUUUCCAAAGUAUACACUGUUUUUAAUGUUUUUUCACACAACCAAAUGAAUUUAAAUAUUGCAAGACUAA